RNAcentral lists this transfer RNA (67 nucleotides) under Ruvettus pretiosus (oilfish). RNAcentral's name for it is "tRNA-Cys". The record is from RNAcentral. Lineage: Eukaryota; Metazoa; Chordata; Actinopteri; Scombriformes; Gempylidae.
AGCCCUGAAGUGUUUUGGCAUGUGAGAUUGCAAAUCUUAAGGAGCGGACUAGCGUCUGCCGGGGCUU